RNAcentral lists this ribosomal RNA (256 nucleotides) under uncultured bacterium. Its description in RNAcentral is "partial 16S ribosomal RNA". It matches the Rfam family "Bacterial small subunit ribosomal RNA", at positions 524 to 776 of the family's 1533-position model. The record is from RNAcentral.
UACGUAGGGUGCAAGCGUUGUCCGGAAUUAUUGGGCGUAAAGAGCUCGUAGGCGGUUUGUCGCGUCGGCUGUGAAAACCUGGGGCUCAACCCCGGGCCUGCAGCCGAUACGGGCAAACGUAGAAUUCGGUAGGGGAGACUGGAAUUCCUGGUGUAGCGGUGGAAAUGACGCAGAUAUCAGGAGGAACACCGGUGGCGAAGGCGGGUCUCUGGGCCGAUAUUGACGCUGAGGAGCGAAAGCGUGGGGAGCAAACAGG